This 594-nucleotide long non-coding RNA is filed under the name Rattus norvegicus (Norway rat). Its description in RNAcentral is "long non-coding RNA NONRATT005833". The record is from RNAcentral. Lineage: Eukaryota; Metazoa; Chordata; Mammalia; Rodentia; Muridae.
AAGGAUUGUGGAGCACAUUUCAAUCAUUUUAGGAUUGUCAAAAGGAGGAUUGAGGAGGAUCAGAUCAAUAAUGGAGGCAAUGGUUUGGAUUGGAGAGGGCUCACUGGAUCCCAAUCCUUGGAGCUGGAUCAUUGGAUUCAAAUCAUAAUGUGGAUAGGAUAGGGAGGAUGAAUUACCAGGAUUCAUGGAGCGGGAUCAGAUUACCAGGAACAUAGGAGUGGAUUCCUUCCUGCCCCAACCAAACCGCAUUCGUGUGGAUUUUUUUUCAUUCAACUUAAUUGGCUAUUCCAAAGAAUUUUUUUCCUAUUUUUGACGAUUGGAGCCCUUAAGAUGCACGAUGGAAUUGUGUUUUGCAUUUUUUGGUAAAAGGAGCAAAGCGAGGACCUGGAGAUAUACGCUGGAGCAAUCUCCUUGGAAGGAUUCAGCACGAGUAGAUGGUAAACAUUUAAAGGGGAAAAGGGGGGGUUUGCUUUAAAUAGUAAAUCAGUAAGUCACUUCUAAAUUUAAAGAAAACAAAAUUGGAGUUGAAGAAUAAGUAGGUUUCCAAUUGGCUAUUGCCAUUUUUCUUUGAAAAAAUAAACAUUUUUUAAAAAA